UGUGAAGGCACCCAAAAAACCUUCAUCUCAGGGCUUGCUGCAGUUUUCGCAACAUUCUACGUGUUCAACCUGGAAUACCAAGAAGAAGCUGCAAGGACCCUGGAGUUUGUGCAAAGGCGCCUCAUUGGGAUCAAUCCCGAAAGGGGAGGAAAGACCAGCCAGGGAAAAGUGGUGUCAAAGAGGACGGGGAAGCUGGUCCACAAAAAGGCAACAACGGUGAAUCCCCAUGUGGCCACUCUCCUAAAAAAUUUGAUGGACUUUGAGUGGGGGUUUAUUUAGUUCAAACUGUCUCAGGUGCCCAUGGUCAAUUUUUUUACUCACAGUUGUUGAAAACCUGUUUAUGUUUAGUUUUUAUUGUUGUGAAAUGUGUGUAAUGAAGUUAGCUUUUACUUUGUUCUUAGCUGCUAUGCAGUGACUUUAACUGAACUGUUUCAAUGUUUCGGUGAACGGAGGAAGGAAGAGGAAAAAAUAACAAGCAGUAAAGUGAAGAGGAUUUGAAUUGGCUGAUGAUUUCUAUUCUGUUUGCAAACAGUCAAACCAGCCUCGAUCAAUUUUGACCCAGUAGGACAACACAAAGUUUAAUAAAUGUAAUGUGAUCUAAAUCCCAUGUCAUAGUUCAAGAAAAAAUAUGACAGUCAAGUAAUGAUGCUUGUGGAUUUUAUGGAUACUACAAAAGUUCAGUUUUAAUAAAUAUCAAUGUUGUGAG
Melanotaenia boesemani (Boeseman's rainbowfish) is the source of this 706-nucleotide long non-coding RNA. RefSeq lists it as uncharacterized. The transcript is spliced from 2 exons. Lineage: Eukaryota; Metazoa; Chordata; Actinopteri; Atheriniformes; Melanotaeniidae. The record is from RefSeq and is a predicted model, not a curated record.